RNAcentral lists this long non-coding RNA (304 nucleotides) under Jatropha curcas. RNAcentral describes it as "long non-coding RNA (JCUR_LNC002410)". The record is from RNAcentral. Lineage: Eukaryota; Viridiplantae; Streptophyta; Magnoliopsida; Malpighiales; Euphorbiaceae.
GAUCCCCCAAGUUCUCCACCACCACCAUCCAACCCACCUAGAAGUCCUUUGCCACCAUCAUCAACACCACCACCACCGACAAAUUCACCUCCAACAGCAUCACCAAAUCCACCUCAAAAUCCACCGCCACCAUCGGAGCCACCUAAGAAUUCACCACCAUCUCCACCAUCAUCUAAGCCACCUGAAAAUUCACCACCACCAUCACAACCACCUAGCAACUCUACCACCCCACCACCAGUAACUGUGCCACCUCCCAGAAGUUCACGUCUUCCUCCAGCAUCAAUUCCACCUACAAAUUCACCUC